UACAGAGGUCCCGAGCGUUGUUCGGAUUCACUGGGCGUAAAGGGUGCGUAGGCGGUUCUGAAAGUCUGAUGUGAAAUCUCCAGGCCCAACCUCGAGAUGUCGGCUGAAACCAUCUGGCUAGAGUCCGGAAGAGGAGAAUGGAAUUCCCGGUGUAGCGGUGAAAUGCGCAGAUAUCGGGAAGAACACCCGUGGCGAAGGCGGUUCUCUGGGACGGUACUGACGCUGAGACGCGAAAGCGUGGGGAGCGAACAGG
RNAcentral lists this ribosomal RNA (253 nucleotides) under uncultured bacterium. Its description in RNAcentral is "partial 16S ribosomal RNA". It matches the Rfam family "Bacterial small subunit ribosomal RNA", at positions 524 to 776 of the family's 1533-position model. The record is from RNAcentral.